CAAGUCGAACGAGAGAGAGGGAGCUUGCUUCCUCAAUCGAGUGGCGAACGGGUGAGUAACGCGUGAGGAACCUGCCUCAAAGAGGGGGACAACAGUUGGAAACGACUGCUAAUACCGCAUAAGCCCACGACCCGGCAUCGGGUUGAGGGAAAAGGAGCAAUCCGCUUUGAGAUGGCCUCGCGUCCGAUUAGCUAGUUGGAGAGGUAAUGGCCCACCAAGGCAACGAUCGGUAGCCGGACUGAGAGGUUGAACGGCCACAUUGGGACUGAGACACGGCCCAGACUCCUACGGGAGGCAGCAGUGGGGAAUAUUGCACAAUGGGGGAAACCCUGAUGCAGCGACGCCGCGUGGAGGAAGAAGGUCUUCGGAUUGUAAACUCCUGUUGUUGAGGAAGAUAAUGACGGUACUCAACAAGGAAGUGACGGCUAACUACGUGCCAGCAGCCGCGGUAAAACGUAGGUCACAAGCGUUGUCCGGAAUUACUGGGUGUAAAGGGAGCGCAGGCGGGAAGACAAGUUGGAAGUGAAAUCUAUGGGCUCAACCCAUAAACUGCUUUCAAAACUGUUUUUCUUGAGUAGUGCAGAGGUAGGCGGAAUUCCCGGUGUAGCGGUGGAAUGCGUAGAUAUCGGGAGGAACACCAGUGGCGAAGGCGGCCUACUGGGCACCAACUGACGCUGAGGCUCGAAAGUGUGGGUAGCAAACAGGAUUAGAUACCCUGGUAGUCCACACCGUAAACGAUGAUUACUAGGUGUUGGAGGAUUGACCCCUUCAGUGCCGCAGUUAACACAAUAAGUAAUCCACCUGGGGAGUACGACCGCAAGGUUGAAACUC
RNAcentral lists this ribosomal RNA (831 nucleotides) under uncultured bacterium. RNAcentral's name for it is "bacterial SSU rRNA". It matches the Rfam family "Bacterial small subunit ribosomal RNA", at positions 58 to 902 of the family's 1533-position model. The record is from RNAcentral.